UAAAAUUAAGUUUAUGGUUAAGAGCUUGUUGAAAGAGCGAAACACUAAUUAAUUUUUUAGCAAUUCCUGGUUGUGUUAAACCGCUUAAUGUUGUUGUUAACCAAAGUAAGGGAAGAGCGAGUUUUAUAGAAUUUUAGCUUGCUCAUAAGCUUGGAUCUGUAAUUUUGAUGCUCUAGGGCCUUCUACGUUGUAUAUAAUACAAAACAAAUGAAAAAAAUAAAAAGGAGGCGAGUUUUAUACGGUGAGUUUACGCAGCCGCGAAACGGUCCGUCUUGCCUCGCUCGAAAGAAACACAAUUUGUCCACGCUGGCAAUCCGUUAGGAGCAAAAGCAAACCAGUCAAAGGCCUACCACACGGAUUGAAGGCCUUUUCAAAAUCCUUAUCCUCGCACGAUAUAGUCUUCUAAUUUAACCGAACCUAGAAAAGCGCCCCACUUCUGUUCUCUCUCUAUAUUAAAGUGCUCCUACCGUCUUUUUUGUCAUUGUUCUCUCUCGUUAUUUAGAAUCGUCUUUUACAAGGACAAGUCAUGGCUCGUACGAAGCAAACUGCUCGCAAAUCAACCGGUGGAAAGGCCCCCAGGAAGCAGCUCGCCACAAAGGCAUGUUUCGUUAUGCUUUCUAUUGUUUCUGUAUGUUAUAUUUGAGGGAGAAUAGGAUUUAUUUUAAAAAUUUUCUAGGGUUAAUAUAGUUUUCUCGUUCUCGCUUAAAUUUGUUUAUCGCUUGCCAAUUUUAAUGCGAUCAUUUUAUAUCUCUCGUCGUUUUCCUUCUAAAUCUAGGGUUUCAGGAUUUUAUUGUAAUGUUCAGUUUUCGGUUUUAAUGUGUAAGCUGAAUUUAUAUUCCUUUAAUUCGUGGUAUUUAAUUGCGCAUAGGCUGCUAGGAAAUCUGCUCCGACGACUGGCGGAGUCAAGAAGCCUCAUCGUUACCGCCCUGGAACUGUGGCUCUCCGGUAUGUAAUUGCCCUAAUUUCUGUUCUUAUACUUAUCCUCAACUGUCUGAUUUUUUUUCUUUGGGCAUAACUCACCUUUCUGAUUUAGUUCUAAUGCCAACUUUUAUUUGUCUAUUGAUCGAACAGUGAAAUCAGAAAGUAUCAAAAGAGCACUGAACUUUUGAUCCGCAAGUUGCCAUUCCAGCGCCUUGUUCGUGAAAUAGCUCAAGAUUUCAAGACGGAUUUGAGGUUCCAGAGUCACGCAGUGCUAGCCCUUCAGGAGGCCGCCGAGGCUUAUUUGGUUGGUCUGUUUGAGGACACCAAUCUUUGCGCUAUCCACGCUAAGAGAGUCACAAUUAUGCCCAAGGAUAUCCAGCUAGCUAGGCGGAUCCGUGGUGAACGUGCUUAAUUAGGUCUCUCAUUUGGCCCAUUAGCUGUGAAGAACUUGUAAAUUUGAAAAACUGGGGCAAAAACCCAAUUCCUCUAAUCACAUUCAAGUUGGUAGUGUUUUUAUGUAAUAAUGAUUACGGUACUGUUUGUUUUUGUUGCUUUAAAACUUUGUCAAGGGCUGGUGUGUUAGAAUAGAGAGAAUUGAAUAUUUAUUGUAGGAUUUCAGAAGGAUAAAGCUGGUUUUUACAACGUGCUUGACAACAUUGCAUCUGACUCGUGUGUAAUAUGCUUUUGUGGUAAUGAAUUCUCUUUUA
This 1628-nucleotide unclassified non-coding RNA is filed under the name Hevea brasiliensis (rubber tree). Lineage: Eukaryota; Viridiplantae; Streptophyta; Magnoliopsida; Malpighiales; Euphorbiaceae. The record is from RNAcentral.